This 473-nucleotide ribosomal RNA is filed under the name uncultured Magnetococcus sp. Its description in RNAcentral is "bacterial SSU rRNA". It matches the Rfam family "Bacterial small subunit ribosomal RNA", at positions 79 to 587 of the family's 1533-position model. The record is from RNAcentral. Lineage: Bacteria; Pseudomonadati; Pseudomonadota; Magnetococcia; Magnetococcales; Magnetococcaceae.
UUCGGGAUGCCGACGAGUGGCAAACGGGUGAGUAACGCGUGGAUACCUGCCCUGUGGUGGGGAAUAACGUCUAGAAAUGGACGCUAAUACCGCAUAAGCUCUGCGGAGGAAAGAUUUAUCGCCAUGGGAGGGGUCCGCGUCGGAUUAGCUAGUUGGUGGGGUAACGGCCUACCAAGGCGACGAUCCGUAGCUGGUCUGAGAGGAUGAUCAGCCACACUGGGACUGAGACACGGCCCAGACUCCUACGGGAGGCAGCAGUGGGGAAUAUUGCGCAAUGGGGGAAACCCUGACGCAGCGACGCCGCGUGGGUGAAGAAGGCCUUAGGGUUGUAAAGCCCUUUCAGUGGGAAAGAUGAUGACGGUACCCACAGAAGAAGCUCCGGCUAACUCCGUGCCAGCAGCCGCGGUAAUACGGAGGGGGCCAGCGUUGUUCGGAAUUACUGGGCGUAAAGGGCGCGUAGGCGGUUGAUCAAG